RNA transcript from Pongo pygmaeus (Bornean orangutan), 2900 nucleotides. It is a transcript of the gene named electron transfer flavoprotein subunit alpha, with no coding region annotated. NCBI's taxonomy places the organism in Eukaryota, Metazoa, Chordata, Mammalia, Primates, Hominidae. The transcript is spliced from 11 exons. The record is from RefSeq and is a predicted model, not a curated record.
CUGAGCUCGGUCAUCGGCGGGUGGCCAGCUUUGUCUCUGCAGCUCCGCGGCCCCGGCUUACUCGAAGGUCCCCGGGGAAUAGCCUCACCUUUGCCCCACUUCCCAGUCUAACCCCUAACUUCCCGCCGUCUAUUGGCUGCGCAGCCGCCCAAUGGGCAGGCGGAAACCGCGGGCUCGUGCUCCAGGCCUAGGGCGUCUUAUCUCGUUCGCGCGUCUCGCGAGCAUUAGGUGACUGGCUGAGGCGGCGCAAGUUGGCCAGGCGACGGGCUGCUGUAAGGCCGAGGUUGCGGCGGAAGCAGAGACCAUGUUCCGAGCCGCGGCUCCGGGGCAGCUCCGGCGGGCGGCCUCAUUGCUACGAUUUCAGAGUACCCUGGUAAUAGCUGAGCAUGCAGAUGAUUCUCUAGCACCCAUUACUUUAAAUACCAUUACUGCAGCCACACGCCUUGGAGGUGAAGUGUCCUGCUUAGUAGCUGGAACCAAAUGUGACAAGGUGGCACAAGAUCUCUGUAAAGUAGCAGGCAUAGCAAAAGUUCUGGUGGCCCAGCAUGAUGUGUACAGAGGCCUACUUCCAGAGGAACUGACACCAUUGAUUUUGGCAACUCAGAAGCAGUUCAAUUACACACACAUCUGUGCUGGAGCAUCUGCCUUCGGAAAGAACCUUUUGCCCAGAGUAGCAGCCAAACUUGAGGUUGCCCCGAUUUCUGACAUCAUUGCAAUCAAGUCACCUGACACAUUUGUGAGAACUAUUUAUGCAGGAAAUGCUCUAUGUACAGUGAAGUGUGAUGAGAAAGUGAAAGUGUUUUCUGUCCGUGGAACAUCCUUUGAAGCUGCAGCAACAAGUGGCGGUAGUGCCAGUUCAGAAAAGGCAUCAAGUACUUCACCAGUGGAAAUAUCAGAGUGGCUUGACCAGAAAUUAACAAAAAGUGAUCGACCAGAGCUAACAGGUGCCAAAGUGGUGGUAUCCGGUGGUCGAGGCUUGAAGAGUGGAGAGAACUUUAAGUUGUUAUAUGACUUGGCAGAUCAACUACAUGCUGCAGUUGGUGCUUCCCGUGCUGCUGUUGAUGCUGGCUUUGUUCCCAAUGACAUGCAAGUUGGACAGACAGGAAAAAUAGUAGCACCAGAACUUUAUAUUGCUGUUGGAAUAUCUGGAGCCAUCCAACAUUUAGCUGGGAUGAAAGACAGCAAGGUAAUUGUAAAUCAGUGAUGUUAAAAGAAAACGUUUCCACAUUUUAGGAUUUGGCUUACCUUGUAUGUUUCCAUGUGGUUACAGUGCAUGCAGUCAAGCCAUUCACACUAACGUAGAUCUGGGAACUGAAAGAAAUAAAAGCUACCGUUCACUGCCUUAAAAAUUAUUGGUCACAGAGGCAGUGCUGUGUCAUGGAAAGAGGCCUGAACCUGAGUUAUAGCUCCACUGCUAACUUAAUGCAUGAUGAGUGCUGUCUGCAAACUCAGUUUCUUUGUCUACUAAAUGUGGGUAUUGAAUGAUGAUCACUAAGUUGCCCUUCAGCUGUGACAAUCUGUGGAUAGAAAAUAUCAGCCUUAAACAAUUUGAUGAGGUUCUGAACGUGUAACUUAUUUUUGAGGAUGGUCUUGAUCUCCUGACCUCGUGAUCCAUACGCUUCAGCCUCCCAGAGUGCUGGGAUUACAGGCAUAAGCCACCGCGCCCGGCCAGGAAACACUUGAUUUUAACUUGCUACUUGGACUACUCUGAAAGUCCUGUGUAAUGAUUCUGAACAUAUAUUUCAGAAUAUGACACAUUAAUUCAUGCAUAAUAAUGUAUAGUUUGAAUUAUGAACUUAUCUUUCAUGAAGUCAGAGAUGCCUCUGACAUUCCUGCAUUUAUCCAUUCAGAUGGAAGCUUGAUAUAAAAGAUAAUAAAACUUUUAACAGGCUUAACUUCUUCUAACUUGAAAUGCGUGCACUACCUCUUUGUAGCUUCUAAAUGAACUGGCCCAAAACCAGUCAGAUUUUACAGUUGGAUGGUAGGUUUCUUUCCUGAGCUAUGAAAACAGCAGUGCCAAUGGGGAAAAUGUGAUUGCUGCAUUAAGAAAAAAUAAAUAAAUAAAUAAAAGAAACUCCAACGCCAGCAGCCUUACAGUAUAUUUUUAGCCAGACAAGUUCAGACAUAACUAGAAUUCUGCUUCUCUAAAAAUAAAAGAUUCUGCCUGUCAAGAAGAUACCAGUGAAAAUUCUUACCCCAUGCCAACAGGGCUGCAUUGUGGGAGAGACACUAGGUAGUGUACGUCAGAGCAAAUAGGGAACAGUUGAAGUAAGGAGACUGGUGUUGGGGGUCAGCCAAGACUUUGUAUCUCCAUCUAGUCAACAGACGUUUAUUAAGACCUUUCCUUGUACUAGAAGCUGGGAAUGCUUAAAUGAAAAAGACAUAGCCCUUGUUGUCACUGUUUCAUCCUGUUGUCUGUGUCGUCCUGUGUUGUCAUAGCCCCAUUAUCUGCAUAGGAGACAGACAGUCUUUAGUUCUAAAAUGGGAUAUUAGAAUGGUUUAAAUCUGACAGUUGCAUUCCCUACAAGCUGCAAUUUUAAUUAGAAUCCUGGUUUAGUUAAAGGAAUUCAAGAUUUGAUUGUUAAAUCAAAUGAAUCUAAUGAAAGCACUUUCUGAACUAAUACAUAGUAAUAUGGUUGAGGCCAUAUGCACUCCCAGCACUUUGGGAGGCCGAGGCGGGCAGAUCACCUGAGGUCAGGAGAUCGAGACCAUCCUGGCUAACAUGAUGAAACCCCAUCUCUACUGAAAAUACAAAAAAUUAGCCGGGCAUGGUGGCAGGCGCCUGUAGUCCCAGCUACUUGGGAGGCUGAGGCAGAAGAAUGGCGUGAAUCUGGGAGGCAGAGGCUGCAGUGAGCCGAGAUCGCGCCACUGCACUCCAGCCACGGUGACAGAACGAGACU